Drosophila innubila is the source of this 244-nucleotide long non-coding RNA. RefSeq lists it as uncharacterized. The transcript is spliced from 2 exons. Lineage: Eukaryota; Metazoa; Arthropoda; Insecta; Diptera; Drosophilidae. The record is from RefSeq and is a predicted model, not a curated record.
UGGCAGUGGGUGCCAUCGCAGACAAGUGGACCAACAUUUGUGGCAACCAGUACCCUAACGGAAUUCCUGCGCUGCGGAAGUGCGACACGUGCCUAACGGUUUGUCAAGUGGCAAAGACAAAGCAGAAUGAACAACAAAAACAACAAAACCACGUCUAAGCAGUAAAUAAAGUGAAGUGUUCCUUCCAAAGCAGCAACAACGGUGUAUAAGGUGUGUUUACUUUAAUCAAACGCAAAAGAGAGCA